AGCAGUAGCCGCGGUAAUACGAAGGGGGCUAGCGUUGUUCGGAUUUACUGGGCGUAAAGGGUGCGUAGGCGGAUUGUUAAGUCAGGGGUGAAAUGCCGGGGCUCAACCUCGGAACUGCCUUUGAUACUGGCGAUCUUGAGUCCGGGAGAGGUGAGUGGAACUGCGAGUGUAGAGGUGAAAUUCGUAGAUAUUCGGAAGAACACCAGUGGCGAAGGCGACUGACUGGACAAGUAUUGACGCUGAGGUGCGAAAGCGUGGGGAGCGAACAGGAUUAGAUACCCGAGUAGUCCCUGUCUCUUAUAC
This 303-nucleotide ribosomal RNA is filed under the name uncultured bacterium. RNAcentral's name for it is "partial 16S ribosomal RNA". It matches the Rfam family "Bacterial small subunit ribosomal RNA", at positions 507 to 807 of the family's 1533-position model. The record is from RNAcentral.